UUAAAAUUUGGUUAUGGUUUUUUAGUUAAUUAUUUUAUUUAAUUAUAUGGGUGCUAUUAAAAAUAAUUUAUUCCAGUAAAAAAAAUUAUGUUAUAACAUAAUUGUUGAGUUAGAAAAUAAAUAAUAAUAUAAUAGGUUAAUAUUUGUGCCAGCAUUCGCGGUUAGACAGUUUAUUAAAGUUAAUUUUAUUUUUUGUUAGUUUAGUAUCAAAAUUAUAAGAUUUUAUUUUAAUUUUAUUUAGGUGGAAUUUAUAUUUUUAUAAUUUAAUUUCUUUAUUACUAUUUAAGAAAUUUCAUAUUAAAACUAGGAUUAGAUACCCUAUUAUUUGUUAUUUAAAUAAAAUCAUUAGAAUGGUAUUAGUUAUGAUCUCUUAAGCUCAAAUAACUUGGCGGUAAAAUAUCUGUAUAGAGGAACCUGUACAUUAAUUGAUAAUCCACGAUAAACUAUACUUUGUAAAUAGUAUUUGUAUAUCUCUAUAUUUUGGAAUGUUUUGUUAAAAUAUUUUCUUUUUCUUGAGGUUAUUUUAAGAUUUAUGUUAGGUCAAGAUGCAGUUUUUAUAAAGUUUUUAUGGGUUACUUUAAUUUUAAAAUAUUUUAGGAAUUAUUUAAUAUUUUAAAUUGUUAAUUAGGAUUUAUUAGUAAUUUCAAUUAAUUAAUUGUUAUGAAUAUGCACUGUUUUAUGCACAUAUCGCCCGUCACUCCUAACUUAAGUUAGGAUAAGUCGUAACAAAGUAAUUUUAUCGGAAGAUGAAGUUAGAAUUUA
RNAcentral lists this ribosomal RNA (762 nucleotides) under Dalbulus maidis (maize leafhopper). RNAcentral's name for it is "12S ribosomal RNA". Lineage: Eukaryota; Metazoa; Arthropoda; Insecta; Hemiptera; Cicadellidae. The record is from RNAcentral.